RNAcentral lists this ribosomal RNA (460 nucleotides) under uncultured bacterium. RNAcentral's name for it is "partial 16S ribosomal RNA". It matches the Rfam family "Bacterial small subunit ribosomal RNA", at positions 338 to 795 of the family's 1533-position model. The record is from RNAcentral.
CCUACGGGUGGCAGCAGUGAGGAAUAUUGGUCAAUGGACGAGAGUCUGAACCAGCCAAGUAGCGUGAAGGAUGACUGCCCUAUGGUUUGUAACCUUCUUCUAUAUGGGAAUAAAACAACUGAUGUAUUCACUAUUGUAUGUACCAUAUCAAUAAAGAUCGGCUAACUCCGUGCCAGCAGCCGCGGUAAUACGGAGGAGCCGAGCGUUAUCCGGAUUGAUUGGGUUUAAAGGGAGCGUAGGUGGAUUGGUAAGUCAGUUGUGAAAGUUUGCGGCUCAACGGUAAAAUUGCAGUUGAAACUGGCAGUCUUGAGUACAGUAGAGGUGGGCGGAAUUCGUGGUGUAGCGGUGAAAUGCGUAGAUAUCACGAAGAACUCCGAUUGCGAAGGCAGCUAACUGGACUGCAACUGACACUGAGGAUCGAAAGUGUGGGUAUCAAACAGGAUUAGAUACCCUGGUAGUC